Molecule: long non-coding RNA, 506 nt
Filed under: Eucalyptus grandis
Lineage: Eukaryota; Viridiplantae; Streptophyta; Magnoliopsida; Myrtales; Myrtaceae
Description: long non-coding RNA (EGRA_LNC003485)
Source: RNAcentral
CAGGUUCUCUCUCUCUCUCUCUCUCUCUUCCAGGUUCAUCAAAAUCACUGGUCAUGUAACGUUGAGUGCAUGCGGCUCCCACAAAUUGGAAUGAACACGGUUGCGUGUGGUCCAUGACCUUCCUCUCUCAACCAUAUCAUCUUAAUCGGAUUACUCAAACCACAGCUUUCGCCAGGAUCUUAUGGCUGAUUGCUCUGAUAAAAAAAAAAAAACAUUACAAGACUAUCUUUUGAAUCUGCCGGAGUGGAUGAUGUUUGGGUCGUAAGACAAUGGCAAUUCCUUAAUCAGUUUCUAUAAUUAAGAAACUACUGAAAGGUGAAAUCAAAAACCAUGAUCAGAAUGACAUAAGGUUGCUCACGACAUCACGUUCUUGUUUACGCAGGCGAUUCCUAGAGAAGCAAGGAACUACGAGCUCGGAGAAGCCCGAUACUACGUGGUGCUCGUGUGGACCGCGAUCAUCAAUCAAUUCUUUUUCUUGGGAGCCAUAGGGGUCAUCUUCUAUGCCU